GGGGAUUUAGCUCAGUGGUAGAGCACUUGCCUAGCUAGCACAAGGCCCUGGGUUCGGUCCCCAGCUCCA
Rattus norvegicus (Norway rat) is the source of this 69-nucleotide non-coding RNA. Lineage: Eukaryota; Metazoa; Chordata; Mammalia; Rodentia; Muridae. The record is from Rfam.